AACGAUUGCUGGGGGAGCCGCGGCGAUGCGGCUGAGAGUGCGCGAUACAGGCGCAGACCCCUCGAACCUGUUGGGUAAUUCCAGCGUAGGGAAGCAGUCUGGCCGAGCG
RNAcentral lists this non-coding RNA (109 nucleotides) under Desulfarculus baarsii. RNAcentral's name for it is "TPP sequence". It matches the Rfam family "TPP riboswitch aptamer (THI element)". Rfam says of the family: Vitamin B(1) in its active form thiamin pyrophosphate (TPP) is an essential coenzyme that is synthesised by coupling of pyrimidine and thiazole moieties in bacteria. The previously detected thiamin-regulatory element, thi box was extended, resulting in a new, highly conserved RNA secondary structure, the THI element, which is widely distributed in eubacteria and also occurs in some archaea. The record is from RNAcentral. RNAcentral also lists the same sequence under 1 other name. Lineage: Bacteria; Pseudomonadati; Thermodesulfobacteriota; Desulfarculia; Desulfarculales; Desulfarculaceae.